RNAcentral lists this long non-coding RNA (490 nucleotides) under Manihot esculenta (cassava). RNAcentral's name for it is "long non-coding RNA (MESC_LNC003124)". Lineage: Eukaryota; Viridiplantae; Streptophyta; Magnoliopsida; Malpighiales; Euphorbiaceae. The record is from RNAcentral.
UUUGAUUUUGCUGAAGUUCUUCCUGCACCGAUAAAUGGUAAGCAACUUAUGUUUGAAAUUUGAUUUUACUCCUAAAGAAAAGUAAGAUAAUUACCAUUGAAAAAAAAAUAACAUUCUGGCAUAAAUGGUAGUUCAAUUUGAUUUUGUCUUACUGCACUAUUAAACGAUAAGCAACUUAUAUCUGCCUGAGAUUUGGUCCUGCUCCUAGAAAAUAGUAAGGUAAUAACUCUUGAAAAAUGUUAGAAAGACAGUUCGGCAUAAAAUGGUACCUAACCUUAAAAUAUGAUUAAGCAUAUAACAAUCAUCAUUUAGUUGCAACUUAUUUGCAAAAUACAUUUUUUUUUUGGGCUAGGAGUUUUUUCAAGGUAACACGAAUACAAUAUUUUCUUGAUUUCAAUACCUACAAGUACACUGCCAUUAUUUGGCAGCACACUUAAUAUAGCAUAUGCACAUACUUGUACAUCCUUAUACAGGGAUGCGUCAGAAUGGG